Long non-coding RNA from Cucumis melo (muskmelon), 2243 nucleotides. RefSeq lists it as uncharacterized. The transcript has 4 exons. Lineage: Eukaryota; Viridiplantae; Streptophyta; Magnoliopsida; Cucurbitales; Cucurbitaceae. The record is from RefSeq and is a predicted model, not a curated record.
CACUCUCAUCGCCUUCAACUCCCUCCAUUUCGACCUCCAAACAUUAAGAAACCGCAUAGCAAUGCGAACAGAAAAAGUACUUCCUUCUCUGUCCUGCCUUUCGAUCUUUCUCCCCCUCCAAUCGAUGAGGACCUCCUUGUGAGUCUUUUUCCUCUAUUUAGUCCAAUUUGUUGUUUUACUACCCAAGUUCAUUGCUGAAAUUCUUUAUGCUGAUUUGAUUCUGGGGUUACGAAGUGAACUGAGAUGUAUUUUUAAUUCAUGAAUUGAAGACAGAUGCAUUCAUUUACGAAAGAGGGAACAAAGGACAUAAAGUGUGCUGGUAGGCUUGAUUUAAGAGAAAUGAUUUUUUUAUUCUUGUUUGGUGAGAACUUGCAUUGUAUUACUUUUGGAGAUUGAGAACGGUCCCUCACCCGAGAUUACAGUGGGUUGAGAUUUGGGGUAUGUGUUUUCAGUUAUGGAGUUGGGGUCCACUGAAAGAAGGUUAAAGAAGGGUUUUGGAAUAAGAAGAAAGGGGUGGAUAUUUUAUGGUUAAAUCACCAAUAAGAGGAGAGGGGCGCUCUAGAACACGCCAUUACUGGUUCUUCAUUUCUUUGUGCACUUUACUUUCUGUUUUGAUAUCAUGGCUUGUUUAGUUGCAUCGUAAUGGUUGAAGACUUUCGUUAAAUUCCAAUAUAAUUUAGUAUCAGGAAGUUGUUCCCCUGUUUUUGAGCUAUCUUGCUUGUUGGGACCUAACAAUGUCCUAUUAGAGAAGUUUCUUGUUCUGUUACUCACUUAGCUUGGGAUUUUUCUACCCUAUUUUUUAAUUUCAUAGAUCAAUAAAACUGUUCCUUGACUAGAAAAAGAAAAGAUAUAUAUUGCAAAUGAGUUGAUGUUUUCAUAUUUUGUUGUUAAUUGUUAGGUCGUGGAUCUUUCUGUCUACUUGUCUUUUUUCAUGUUCUAUUACUUUUGAGUCCACUCUUAAUAGAAUGCUUAUAAAAGUUUUCCCACCCUUCUUUAAAGCAUUCCACAUAUAAUAAUUGAGAUUCAUGGCUGCUUCAUGGUGUAUUUCUAGGCCUCCAAUAUUGCUGAAAUACUCAUGCAGGGUUUAAAAGUGGAACUCGGCGUGAAAGUUAGUUAGUUAGUUAGCAUUGGGUGGAUCACAAAGAGAACGCGUGGGAGUGAGUGUGGUCAAUAUAUAUAAUAACAUGUUGUGUGUUGGGAAAUUUACCGUUUUUUCGUGUAGAAAAGUAGUUGUGAGAGUGUGACACACGCAAGUAUACUCAUCGUGUUUAGAAUGUUCAGUAUACUAAAACGGUCAAGAGAAAAAACUCAAUCGGCAUCCUUGACGUUGGUUUGGUUGAGAGAAAAUGUGGGGGAAGAUAGUGGCCUUCCUCCUCAUUGCUUUUCUCAUCUUCUUUCCUUUUUCUGAAUCCUUCUGAUAUUCAUCCAAAGGCAUCGAACGCCCUUGCUGGCAUUCAAUCUAAGAAAAACUUAGCUGUAUCUGAGCAAGUUGUCUGAGAGUGCUCGGAUGACAAGGUUUGUUCGGAAGCCAGUAGAGAUGAAGAACUGGAAUGCCCUUACGGUACUUUGUGCAGGGAAUUUUCUUGUCAGCAAGGAACCUCCUCAUUGUCCAAUUUUGCUUGACUUUGAGCUUAGCAAGAAGUUAGCAACCACCAUGGAACAACCACUGGCAAAGACGUUUUUAGCCACUGCAGAGACAAAGAUGUUGCCUUUUUAUAGACAACAAACAUGAACUAUGAUUUGGGAGAUUUAUUUAAUUAGUUUCCUCGAUAGAAAUACUGUGAAUCCAUAAACAAAACAGUCAAAAGGAAAACGCGGACAGUGAUGGUUGGAAAUGUUGCCCUUGGUAGUGAGCAUCCGAUUAAGAUUCAAACCAUGACGACAACUAACACAAAGAUGUUGCUGGAACAGUUGAACAGGAUGGUUUGGGUGACACUAUUAGAGUUUCGCUUACAGAACCACCAGAGAAGGAGAUAGAUCCUUGUCGAAGGCUCACAACCCUUGGUAUGAAUUAUGCUACCAGGCAAGUGAUUGAUGUGGUUAGUGACAAGACUUGUUGUAGUUUCAUUAUUUACGACAAUGCUCAUUGUUGUAUUUAGUUUCUUUGUAAAAAUAUAUUACCAAGAUUUAGUUUCUACUUUGCUUGAAUUUGUCCCUUUAAGGAAGUUCGAUAGAUUUCGUGUACUUAGUUUCUUUGUAAAAACAUUAUCUAUGUUAUUGUUAUAUAUGAAAGUUCUUAUUUA